CUGAAGGAUUUAAGCACAUGCUGCUCUGUAUAGAGCAGAGAUAGCAGCCCGAGGUAUAAUGAGCUGAAUAAGAGCAAGACGGCUUUGUUGGGAUUUUACUGGACAGAAGAGAGGCGGACGCUGCCGAGAAGCACACAGAUCAGUGCAUUUUCACACAUGUCCCCGGGUCACUUCACCACCCAGGUCAGAACGGAGACUUCCGUCCACGCCAGGAGCCACCUGCCCCUGCCCGGGCCACACCACCUCCACCCCUCUGACACUCACACCGCCCCGACUCCGCGGCUGUAGUAGGGACAUUUGUGUGCAGAACCGAUUGUCGAUGUGAGCGACCUGAUGAAUUUGAAGAGAAGAAGGGCCUCAUAAGGACACAACGUCUGCAAGACCGGAAGGGAGUUGUCAUCAGGAACCAACCCCCCCAGCACGUAAUCUUGGAAUUCCAGCCUCCAGAACCCUGAGAGAGAAAUGUCUGUGAUGCUCUUUUACGGCGGCCGAGCUGACUGACAUAGCGCUUUCCAGGUUUCACAUGAUUUCGGCACCAGAAGGCUCACCAGCCUGUCUGCUUCACCAGAGCGCCUCUCUUCAACUUUCAUGACUCCUUUCUCCUGUUUCUUGAUGCUUCAGAGACGGUGCCUCGAGAGCUUAGACUCCCACUGACACUCUCCUCCAGGCUAUUCCUGUUUUCUAGGCUCUUUAAGACUUUACUAAAACUCUUCUCAAGUCCCUUAGAACUUCUACACGCUGCUGUCCCAGAGCCGGUGCCCCUUAGGUCAAGAUUUGUCAUGGCAACAGCCUGCUUCCGGUACUCCCAUCUCUUCUGGUGUCGGGAGCUGCAUAGCACAUCCUCCGGACGUUGCAUGGCAUCCAACAAGAGCAAUGAUUUGUCUCGUUCCUGGAUCUGUGAUUUGUGCAAGCCCAGGAUGUGGUCUGGGGUGAUCUGUGAGGACGCACUCCUAAGAUGGCACCCCAGCAUGGCUGGCAAGGUGUUGUGGGGUGUUGGCUGGGAGCUUGGCUGCGGUGGACGGGCUGAGGGCUGUGGUCACUUUUCUGUGGAUCUCUCCUUGGGUCUUGGACUUUCUCCCUGAAGAGAAGAAGUAGGGAUGACCGUUUCUUGGGAUCUGGAUCUAGAACCUGGCAGUUUCCUUUCUACCGUAGUCAAUGGGUCAGGUUGAUGCAGAGCACAGAUUCAAGGGGGGGGGGACAGACACCCCACAUCUUGAUGGGAGUAGUGUUAGGAAUGGAGGGCUAUGUUUAAAAACUAACCAUAUUUUAAAAAAGCAGAAAAACUUAAGGGGUCACAUUUAUUAAAUUCGAGGGCAUGAUGCCCUCAACAAUAGGGAAAUUAUUUCACAUUUUUAAAAAUAAAAGCCACUUUAAAUCGUAUUAUUCCUUUCAAAGUAAAGAGCAUGCAACAAGAACUUGAAAAUUAAAUCAACUAACCCAUAUACUGAUGGCUUUAUCUCUGAUUCUGUGACAGUGGUCCACCGAAAGAUAUGUAAAUUUUAAAGAUUUCACCCCAGCUAAGGGUCAACUCCAUGAUCUCGUUUCCUCAUCUUUGAAGUAAAAAUGGAAUCAACCCUACAACUUGACCUUACGACCCUUGGACUGUAACUAACUCAUGUUCCUCUGAAGGUUUUAUGUUCCAUCACUUAACCCGUGGAGCUCAAGUUGCAACGUUUUAAAGUAUAUAACCAAUAAUUUAUAA
This is a long non-coding RNA of Canis lupus familiaris (dog), 1702 nucleotides long. RefSeq lists it as uncharacterized. The record is from RefSeq and is a predicted model, not a curated record. The transcript is spliced from 3 exons. Lineage: Eukaryota; Metazoa; Chordata; Mammalia; Carnivora; Canidae.